RNAcentral lists this unclassified non-coding RNA (325 nucleotides) under soil metagenome. RNAcentral describes it as "partial contains 5.8S ribosomal RNA, internal transcribed spacer 2, and large subunit ribosomal RNA". The stretch from base 1 to 120 matches the Rfam family "5.8S ribosomal RNA", at positions 35 to 154 of the family's 154-position model. The record is from RNAcentral.
GAUGAAGAACGCAGCGAAAUGCGAUAAGUAAUGCGAAUUGCAGAAUUCAGUGAGUCAUCGAAUCUUUGAACGCACAUUGCGCCCUGUGGUAUUCCGCAGGGCAUGCCUGUUCGAGCGUCAUUUCAACCCUCAAGCCCCGCUUGGUGUUGGGCCCCGCCCGCCGUGGCCGGCCCUAAAGACAGUGGCGGCGCCGCCUGGCCCUCAGCGUAGUACAGCUCUCGCUCCAGGGUCCGGCGGCCGCCUGCCAGAACCGCCCCAACUCUGUGGUUGACCUCGGAUCAGGUAGGGAUACCCGCUGAACUUAAGCAUAUCAAUAAGCGGAGGA